Molecule: long non-coding RNA, 1940 nt
Organism: Fukomys damarensis (Damara mole-rat)
Lineage: Eukaryota; Metazoa; Chordata; Mammalia; Rodentia; Bathyergidae
Exons: 5
Source: RefSeq, a predicted model, not a curated record
AGGCAGGCAGCAAAACCACUGAACUAAAUCCCCCCCGGAUGGGUUCCUUGCUUAAGCUGCAUGAAAAGAAAAAGAUUCCACUGAGCCUACAGAGAGCAGAGUCCAUUCGUGAUAGUGAAAGUCAUCUACACAACAACACUCUUGUCUCUUAUCACUCUCACACCAGCCACAAAGGUUUUCAAAGUGACCCAUGUUAGAGGAGGAAGAUAGAACUUUGAGAGCCCCAUCUGCCACCCCAAAGCCACCAUCCUCUCAUCCUCGGCCAGCACAAACCUUUACAGGAACAAGCAGCAGCCAAAUACACCCCAGAAAUUACUUGGAGACAUCUGUGAGCAUCCGUGCAGUCCACCCAACCCAUAACAGUAGCUACAACCACUGUCUUCAUCAACUAUAGCACCACUCAUGUACUCCUGCCCGGAGACCCAGAACACCACCAGGACAUGAUGCUCUGGAUCUCAUGGAACAUGACCUCAUCUGAUGGAUAGAAAGUUUAACAUCUUCAUUUCAUCCUGGUCCUUCCACGACUGGUAGCAAGAGGCUGAGUGGGCUUGGAGACCCAAGGUCUACACCCUCUGGGAUGGUGCAAGGAGCUCUAGGAAGGAGAAGACAUGGGAACAGUUCUUGCCUUUGCCAUUGUAACAUCAGAGAAGCUGCUGAUAUUGCACGACAAUGAGCAGCACUUUACACCGUCAGAGAGUGGGCUGCCGUGGAUCUACAGGCUGUUGGUUUGCCGGCCACGAUCUAAACACACGGCCCCGUCUAUCAGCCUCUGUACCUGGCAGCUUCUGUGACCCUCAGAAUUUGGUGUGGCACUGACCUCCUCCUCCAGGCUCUGUUCCUGACCGUAAGUCUCCAGUGUAAGUUGAUUCGCCUGCUGCCUACACUCAUGGCACCCUUCACUGCCCAGGGCAUGGUCCUGCCUGCCCUGGACCUGCUGCUCAGUCCCCAUCUUCUCCUUCCACUCACAUUCCCAACCUUCUAGCAGAGGAUGCUACACAAAUUUAAAUUUGGAAAUGAGUACAUGAAAGGAUAAAUGGAUGGAAAUCCUCAAGUGAAUCAACUAAAACUUUUACCUAUAUAAACCAGUGACUAAAUUUAUAAUUAAAACAAAAAACUAUACGCUUUUUCUCCCAGCUUCUUCGUCACAGACAUAGGAAGAAAGUGGGAAGGAUUUGUCCACUGGGGAAGAAUUAUUGUUUUCUUAAACCUCAAACUCUAAAGGAUGAAAAUGAUUUGUGAGCAGAAUCUCUAGAAGCUGAGAAUUGGGAAUAUAAAUAAAGCUAAAGAAAAAAAUCUCUUAAGAACCAAAUAAAAUGAAUGCUAGGGAAAUUGUGUCUUAGUCUUAUAGAGCUGCUACAAUAAAAUACCACCAGCGGCGGUUUUUAAGUAAGAAAUGUCCACUUCCAACUGUUCUGGAGCUGCAGACCAGGAGGAAGGCACAGCAGCUGGCAUUAGGCUCGGGUGGCACAUGCACUGGGGAGCAGCCCUCCACACCCUUGCCGGCCCCUGGUAGCUGCGUCUUUUCCAUGAUGUCCAUUCCAACUGUGAUAUCUCAUUAUGGUUUUGAUUCACCUCUCCCAGAUGAUCAGUAAUGCUGAUCAUUUUUCAUGCACAUUUGGCUAUUUGUCUGUCUUCUUUUGAGAAAUGUCUAUUUAGAUUUGUUGCCCAUGUUGCAAUUGGGUUAUUUAGGUUUUUUGCUAUUGAAUUCUUGGAGUUCCUGAUGUAUUCUGGAUGUCAAAACCUUCUUAUAUGUGCAUUUUCAAAAAUAUUUUCUCCCAUUGUUGGUUGUGUAUGCCCUCUGUUGAUUGUUUCCUUUGCCGAACUGAAGCUUUGAGGUUGACAUGAUCCCAUUUUUUUAAUUUGCCCUUUGAUUUCCUAUGCUUUGGGGUCUCAUCCAAAAAACCCUUUGCCAUUCCAAAGUGGUGAAGCAUUUCCCCUAU